CUGGGAGAUCUCCUCGCGCUCGCGGCUGGCGCUCUGCAGGAACUGGAGCUCGGCGAUGAGAUGCUCGCGCUCGACGGAGAGCUCCUCGGCCUGCGCGUACGCUUAUGCAAGGACGAGGAGCUCAGCAGAGUGGACCACGCCCUUCCAUGGAACGCCGAGGUCGGGGUCGGUCUGGACUGCGCCAUCCCAUGGAUAUCCGAGGUGGGGGAGGCUGUCACGAUGGAGGUGGCGGGGCAUAGGGUGAGCGAAGGACAAGGGCAGGGCACGCACGGAGGAGGGGGCGCGCACGUAAGGAAGGAGGGCGAUGGAACGGAUGGCGGCCUCGGUGCGUGGGGAAGGAAGGAAGGUGAUGGCGGCCUCGGCGCGCGCGUGGGGAAGGAAGGUGAUGGCGCGGAUGGUGGCCUCGGUGCGUGGGGAAGGAAGGUGAUGGCGAUGAUUGUGCAGAUGGCGGCCGAGGCGCGUGGGGGCGGGCGGUGA
This 477-nucleotide unclassified non-coding RNA is filed under the name Zea mays. RNAcentral's name for it is "misc RNA Zm00001eb285350". The record is from RNAcentral. Lineage: Eukaryota; Viridiplantae; Streptophyta; Magnoliopsida; Poales; Poaceae.